GAUCCCGGCGGUCGUUCGGCAUCGGACUCCGGAUCAGAAGGUUAGGGGUUCGAGUCCCUUCGGGCGCA
Molecule: transfer RNA, 68 nt
Filed under: Micromonospora sicca
Lineage: Bacteria; Bacillati; Actinomycetota; Actinomycetes; Micromonosporales; Micromonosporaceae
Description: Micromonospora sp. 4G51 tRNA-Arg
Source: RNAcentral